GUAAACGGCGGCCGUAACUAUAACGGUCCUAAGGUAGCGAAAUUCCUUGUCGGGUAAGUUCCGACCUGCACGAAUGGCGUAAUGAUGGCCAGGCUGUCUCCACCCGAGACUCAGUGAAAUUGAACUCGCUGUGAAGAUGCAGUGUACCCGCGGCAAGACGGAAAGACCCCGUGAACCUUUACUAUAGCUUGACACUGAACAUUGAGCCUUGAUGUGUAGGAUAGGUGGGAGGCUUUGAAGUGUGGACGCCAGUCUGCAUGGAGCCGACCUUGAAAUACCACCCUUUAAUGUUUGAUGUUCUAACGUUGACCCGUGAUCCGGGUUGCGGACAGUGUCUGGUGGGUAGUUUGACUGGGGCGGUCUCCUCCUAAAGAGUAACGGAGGAGCACGAAGGUUGGCUAAUCCUGGUCGGACAUCAGGAGGUUAGUGCAAUGGCAUAAGCCAGCUUGACUGCGAGCGUGACGGCGCGAGCAGGUGCGAAAGCAGGUCAUAGUGAUCCGGUGGUUCUGAAUGGAAGGGCCAUCGCUCAACGGAUAAAAGGUACUCCGGGGAUAACAGGCUGAUACCGCCCAAGAGUUCAUAUCGACGGCGGUGUUUGGCACCUCGAUGUCGGCUCAUCACAUCCUGGGGCUGAAGUAGGUCCCAAGGGUAUGGCUGUUCGCCAUUUAAAGUGGUACGCGAGCUGGGUUUAGAACGUCGUGAGACAGUUCGGUCCCUAUCUGCCGUGGGCGCUGGAGAACUGAGGGGGGCUGCUCCUAGUACGAGAGGACCGGAGUGGACGCAUCACUGGUGUUCGGGUUGUCAUGCCAAUGGCACUGCCCGGUAGCUAAAUGCGGAAGAGAUAAGUGCUGAAAGCAUCUAAGCACGAAACUUGCCCCGAGAUGAGUUCUCCCUGACUCCUUGAGAGUCCUGAAGGAACGUUGAAGACGACGACGUUGAUAGGCCGGGUGUGUAAGCGCAGCGAUGCGUUGAGCUAACCGGUACUAAUGAACCGUGAGGCUUAACCUU
This 1008-nucleotide ribosomal RNA is filed under the name Escherichia coli. Its description in RNAcentral is "partial 23S ribosomal RNA". It matches the Rfam family "Bacterial large subunit ribosomal RNA", at positions 1923 to 2925 of the family's 2925-position model. The record is from RNAcentral. RNAcentral also lists the same sequence under 1 other name. Lineage: Bacteria; Pseudomonadati; Pseudomonadota; Gammaproteobacteria; Enterobacterales; Enterobacteriaceae.